UCCGGUUGAUCCUGCCGGACCCGACUGCUAUCAGAGUGGGACUAAGCCAUGCGAGUCAACGCAGCAAUGCGUGGCAUACGGCUCAGUAACACGUAGUCAACAUGCCCAGGGGACGUGGAUAACCUCGGGAAACUGAGGAUAAACCGCGAUAGGCCAAGGUUUCUGGAAUGGAUCAUGGCUGAAACCUAUAUGGCCCCUGGAUUGGACUGCGGCCGAUCAGGCUGUUGGUGAGGUAAUGGCCCACCAAACCUGUAACCGGUACGGGCUCUGAGAGGAGGAGCCCGGAGAUGGGCACUGAGACAAGGGCCCAGGCCCUAUGGGGCGCAGCAGGCGCGAAACCUCUGCAAUAGGCGAAAGCUUGACAGGGUUACUCUGAGUGAUGUCCGCUAAGGGCAUCUUUUGGCACUUCUAAAAAUAGUGUAGAAUAAGGGGUGGGCAAGUCUGGUGUCAGCCGCCGCGGUAAUACCAGCACCCCGAGUGGUCGGGACGAUUAUUGGGCCUAAAGCAUCCGUAGCCGGUUCUGCAAGUCUUCCGUUAAAUCCACCUGCUCAACAGAUGGGCUGCGGAGGAUACUACAGGGCUAGGAGGCGGGAGAGGCAAGCGGUACUCAGUGGGUAGGGGUAAAACCCUCUGAUCCACUGAAGACCACCAGUGGCGAAGGCGGCUUGCCAGAACGCGCUCGACGGUGAGGGAUGAAAGCUGGGGGAGCAAACCGGAUUAGAUACCCGGGUAGUCCCAGCUGUAAACGAUGCAGACUCGGUGAUGGGUUGGCUUCGAGCCAACCCAGUGCCGCAGGGAAGCCGUUAAGUCUGCCGCCUGGGGAGUACGGUCGCAAGACUGAAACUUAAAGGAAUUGGCGGGGGAGCACCACAAGGGGUGAAGCCUGCGGUUCAAUUGGAGUCAACGCCGGAAAUCUUACCGGGAGCGACAGCAGAGUGAAGGUCAAGCUGAAGACUUUACCAGACAAGCUGAGAGGAGGUGCAUGGCC
RNAcentral lists this ribosomal RNA (988 nucleotides) under uncultured archaeon. Its description in RNAcentral is "bacterial SSU rRNA". It matches the Rfam family "Archaeal small subunit ribosomal RNA", at positions 1 to 999 of the family's 1478-position model. The record is from RNAcentral.